RNAcentral lists this small nucleolar RNA (68 nucleotides) under Fulmarus glacialis (Northern fulmar). Its description in RNAcentral is "Small nucleolar RNA SNORD63". It matches the Rfam family "Small nucleolar RNA SNORD63". From Rfam's summary of the family: snoRNA U63 is found in both humans and mice. U63 is a member of the C/D class of snoRNA which contain C (UGAUGA) and D (CUGA) box motifs. Lineage: Eukaryota; Metazoa; Chordata; Aves; Procellariiformes; Procellariidae. The record is from Rfam by way of RNAcentral.
GUGCCGUGAUGUAACUGUCAACACAUCAUUCUGAAGAAUAAUUGUGUGGAGACCUGUAACUGAGCACC